This 254-nucleotide ribosomal RNA is filed under the name uncultured bacterium. RNAcentral describes it as "partial 16S ribosomal RNA". It matches the Rfam family "Bacterial small subunit ribosomal RNA", at positions 524 to 776 of the family's 1533-position model. The record is from RNAcentral.
UACAGAGGGUGCGAGCGUUAAUCGGAAUUACUGGGCGUAAAGCGCGCGUAGGCGGCUUUGCAAGUCGGGUGUGAAAUCCCCAGGCUUAACCUGGGAACUGCAUUCGAGACUGCAUUGCUAGAGUAUGGGAGAGGGAAGUGGAAUUUCCGGUGUAGCGGUGAAAUGCGUAGAUAUCUGGAGGAAUACCGGUGGCGAAGGCGGCAUCCUGGACCAUUUACUGACGCUGAGGCGCGAAAGCUAGGGGAGCAAACGGG